UCCCUUAGAUGUUCUGGGCUGCACGCGUGCUACACUGAUAUUGCCAAUAUGUCAUUCUUAUCCGAAAUGGAUUGGGUAAUCAAGUAAUGAAAUUUCAUGCUUGGAAUCGGUAAUUGCAAUUUUAUCGUGAACGAGGAAUUCCUAGUAAGCACUAGUCAUCAGCUAAUGUUGAUUAUGUCCCUGCCCUUUGUACACACCGCCCGUCGCUACUACUGAUUGGGUGUUCAAGUGAGAUGCUUAGACCCUUGUUGCAUGGUUCAUUAUUGUGCUCCGAAAGGAAAAAGUUUCAAGCUUGAGUGUCUAGAGGAAGUAAAAGUCGUAACA
This 324-nucleotide ribosomal RNA is filed under the name uncultured eukaryote. Its description in RNAcentral is "partial 18S ribosomal RNA". It matches the Rfam family "Eukaryotic small subunit ribosomal RNA", at positions 1469 to 1796 of the family's 1831-position model. The record is from RNAcentral.